RNAcentral lists this ribosomal RNA (305 nucleotides) under uncultured bacterium. Its description in RNAcentral is "bacterial SSU rRNA". It matches the Rfam family "Bacterial small subunit ribosomal RNA", at positions 333 to 635 of the family's 1533-position model. The record is from RNAcentral.
UCUUCCCUACGGGGGGCAGCAGUGAGGAAUAUUGGUCAAUGGCCGGAAGGCUGAACCAGCCAAGUCGCGUGAGGGAAUAAGGCUCUAUGGGUCGUAAACCUCUUUUGUCAGGGAGCAAAGGCGUCCACGAGUGGACGAAAGGAGAGUACCUGAUGAAAAAGCAUCGGCUAACUCCGUGCCAGCAGCCGCGGUAAUACGGAGGAUGCGAGCGUUAUCCGGAUUUAUUGGGUUUAAAGGGUGCGUAGGCGGAGUGUCAAGUCAGCGGUCAAAUUUCGGGGCUCAACCCCGUCGUGCCGUUGAAACUG